Molecule: long non-coding RNA, 5479 nt
Organism: Gasterosteus aculeatus aculeatus (three-spined stickleback)
Lineage: Eukaryota; Metazoa; Chordata; Actinopteri; Perciformes; Gasterosteidae
Source: Ensembl
GUGUGUGUGUGUGUGUGUGUGUGUGUGUGUGUGAGAGAGUUUAUUACUGUCUUGUCUAUAUUUUGUAGGUCUGUCCUACAGCUGCUGACUGACUACAAUUGGGUAUGUGUGUCCUAUACUGAGUCAUGAUAUUCAUGUCAAACUGCCUGAAGACAAAAAGAACUACAAGGUAUUGUUGAUAAUAUUGAUCAACAUGUCAAAUGUCAAUUCUAAAGAUAGCAAAUAGUUUGUGCUACAAAUUAUUUUCAAACAUAUGACUGUGCUAUCCUUGCUUUUGUUGAAAAGAUUACUCUCUCAGUUUACGGGUUUAUUUGAUCAUUAUCUGUUGCUCUGAUGCAUCACUUCUUUGCUUUGCAGAUUUAAAGGAUACAAAGAAGAAUCCACACAUCUCAUAAAGUUUGACUUACCGUUGAACAGCAGAGGGCAGUAAAACCCAAGAAUGCUGAUGAAACCCACAGUGCAUCAGAAUGACCAUCCGAAUCAGUGGGCCCCGUAUUACACAACAAAGUUGUGAAUACUGUAGUAUGAGUUUGAAUAAAUACCACACGUCUCUUUCACAGCCGAUACUUUGAUUUGUCCCGACAGAAUACACACAGGUUUAACGAACAGAAUCAGCAGUGGAUCCGCUCUGUCGUCCCAGUAAGCCAUGACAGUGAGACGCUAAGAGAGCAUUUACAGCACCGGGGCCCCUGAAAGGAAGCAGAUCAAUGCAUUUCAGGCAACAUUAAUUCUAUUAUCUACACCUGUGCUUUUCCUAAUGUGACAUGUCAUAAUAUUUGUUACAAUGUAUUGUAAUGUGCUUGACUUAAUUCAACAACAAGUCUUUGUAAUAGGUUAUCGAAGAAUGACACCAUUUAAAUUCAUGUUUAAUUUGAAUUGCUGCGUACAAUAACAUUACUGUGUAAGAACAUGAAUAAAGUGUUCAUAUGCUGUUACAGAGUGGUGGACAGUAUUGCAGUGAGUGUUUAACUACCAUUUACGAGUAACUAUACUGUUUUUAGGGUGUUCUAACUUUUAUCCUCCUCCUGAAAGUUAUAUGUGUUGUUUUUAUUUUGAGUUUCUUUUAAUAUUUGAAUGUUUUGUUGCAUGCGAAAUGCACACAUCAUUGCUUAAAUACAUUCAUGUAUAUUUCUGUGUGGCUUGAAGGACGUUUUAGUUGCACUUUCCUUGCGUGUGUAUGUGUGCGUGUUCUCCAUACAAGGCUGGUCACGAAGGUCAUAAAGAGGAAGUCCCUGCGGUCAGUAAGAAGGAGCGCAUGUUUUGCUUGAUGUCAUAGUCCGCAUCCUUCAAUUUCCUCUCCUUCAUCCAUCUAUACUUGCCUUUGACCGUGGUGGAAAACCCAUGCAGCGUGUUUAGCGGGCCUUAGUUUAUGUGGGUGAGCCUGUCUGCGCGUGCAUAGUGAAGGAGGGUUGGUACAGUAAGAUGUUGUACUAAUCAUCUUUUGCUCAAGCUUGUGGUGGACCUUCUGCACAAAAGGUUACCUUCAAAUUAUUGUGACUUAUUUUAUAAGUGACCUUGAACAAUCUUAAUUUAUCCUCACACUAGCAUGCCUCAUUCCAACAUUAAAUAUAUACAUUUUAAAUUAUUACAACUUGUCUUGUGUCUACUUUUAUAGCAGAAUGGCACAUUUGUGAUAUGUAAAUUGUGAAUAUGCAAAGCCAACAGCUUAUAGCUACCCAUUGAAACUGAGACAUCAGAGGGCAAAUCACCAAGAUUUACCUUUUUUUAUGAAUUAUAAUACUUGCACCAAUAAAUGUGCCGUUGAAAAUCAUCUUCCUCGCUUGUGUCUCCUCUUUUGCCCUUUUCCAUACAAAUGAAAAAAUAUUACCUCCUGUUUUCUCUCCCAUCCAUCGCCAGACUGUUGACACAUUAAGAUGUGAAAGUCUCACUGAAUGCUUCCCUGCAUGACGGAUGCUGCUUCCCAACAAGCUUACAUGUGCACACUUAAAAGUGUACACGUUUAUUGUAUAUCGGCAGUUAGUCACACACACACGCACACAUGCAAACACACAUGCAGAGUGUGAGCAAUGCUGUAUAAUAAGCAGCGUGGCGAAGAUGUGGUCAGCUUUGCCCCAUGUGCAAUCGUUGAGAAGCCACAUGAAGGCUUCUGGGUAUUAAAGGAAAAGCCUUGGUUGGCUGGGAGGGAAUCUGUCAUGCAACAAGAAAACUGUUUUUCACCCUUUUUUACCUCUCUCAUUUCUUCUCCAUCAGGCUUUUUCUCUUUACCGCUCUUCCCAAGUUCUGUCUUUCACCAGAUUAUCUGACUCGACUCCCUUUUUUUCCUCCUUCAUUUCUUUCAUUCUGUGGCAUAUUAGACUCAGUUGUAAUACUCUCCAGCUUUAAACGCUUACACCGCUGGAAUGUCCCGUCAAAGAGGUGGGCGGGCCCGGGGGGGAGAGGGGGGAGGGACAGACCAACAUGACCAAUUAAGGAGGAGAUUGAGGUAAGACGGACAGCUUCUAAAUGGUGUAAUAACAACCUACUAAAAUGUAAUUACAAUGCAAUAGCAAUAGACACUUCUAAUGACAGGAUGUAAAUGCCAAUGUGAUUUCCUAACCAUGGCCUUGGCAUAAUGGGCAACUGUUAACAUGGCGUGGAGAUUAUAGAGAGGUGUCUGAUUCCAGAAAUGCAACCACAAGAACUUGUAAGAGUGGAAUGGUCACUCAGAAGUCCUGCAAAGUAUUAAUCACAAAAUGGUUGGCAAGUUUUUGAGGAAAGUCAAACGUUAGUGUGAGCUUCGGACGGAUGUCACCUGUUUAUCCAUUCAAUAGUUUGUCUAAGAAGACUUAAUCUACUACAUAUUUAGGUUCUUGCCUUGGUUUGACCCCUUCCUAAUUGGUCCAACUUCAACCCUGACAAAGUGCUCUCGACCAACCACUGUCCAUCUGUCUUUCUGUAUGAUACGCGUCCAUCUGUCCAUCCAUCCAUCCAUCCACCUCUAACAAGAGGAGUGGAUGGUGGCGUCCAUUAUUACAGAGCAUCCCAGAAUAGAGACUCGUUUUAUUACAAGUCCCUCUAGUCGCCGUGGCUACCCAAAUUACAGGCAAGGCUUCUCACACAUAAAAAAGGUUGCGUUGCCGAAAACCAUCCACCUCAAUAAAGGAUGGAUUAGAAAAUCCUUCGCUUUUUUCCUUUCCUUUCCUUUUUGAAAGGUUUUCUGCACAAUUUUUUUUUUCCUCUGGUGUUUUGUUUUAUGUUGGGGUGCAGCGGUCUUCUUCAGUGGUUUUGCUCCCCGACCCUGCGGCGGAAAAUACGCUCACUUGUGGGUUUCUGGGAAGGCAGCGGUGGACAAAACAUCUGCUGGGAGCAAGAUGUAUGUAAGUGUGUGUGUUUGUGUGAGUGUGUGCAUAGAGGGACACUGUCCUGGCAUCCAUGUCUAAGAUCUGUUUGAGUCAAAGCAAAAUAGUAGGCGUUGGUGUGAAAAAUCUUCAUUACGAGCGUUGUUUACAUAUUUGAAACACAAUUGUGAAAGUUUGGAUCGUUUAAAAGCUGUAUAGAUCAAGGUGUAGGAAUGUAAUGUACAGCGGCAACGCUUGCAGACUUAAAACAAAAUCUCUUGAGUGAACUAAAAUGUGUUCUCAUCUACAUUUUCUGUAAAUCCAGGAUGGCCGUGAAGCAGUUAGAUUCUCUACCCAACAUUAUAAAAUUCUAUAUCAGGGGUUAAUAUCUUUAAUUAAUACACUAUUUAGAUGAGAUAGCCCAUUUCUUUGAGUUAGCGUUUAAAGCUAAAGUCAGUGGGCCUUUUGUUCAGAUUUCCUAUUCCAACUGUAUACAGCUGACUUGUUAUAGUAUUAGUAUUAGAAGGAGUAAAGGGAAGCCGUUCAAAUUUGUAUUAAAUGUUAAAAGAUGUGCUUAUGUCGUAGGCUAACUUUGUGGAUGUGGCAUAAACAAAUAUUAGAGCUAGCUUAUUUGGCUAGCAAUAGCUACAUUGCACAAACCUGUCCUGGAAAAUGGUGGUACCAAAAAAUGUUGACGAACUAUAACAAACUAAACUGAGAAGUUGUAGUGUGCCGUGUACAGUAAUACUUAUUUUUAUUCUAGAAUAACACCCCACCACAUGUUACAUACAAUGAUGCAGUCAUCUCUAUUAUGCAAUGUGAUCAUAUUUUGUGAGAGGCCAUUUACACAGAUUUGAAGGUAGAAAUUAAAGCAGGAGACGUGAACUUUUUUAGAUGUUUGGAGGAAAGAUGAAGGGUUGUAGAGAUCUAUCACCGGGAAAUCUGUUUAUAGAUGUUUCGUUCACAUCCUUUAAAAACCAAAAAGAGAAAUAUAUAGCCUCGAAUGCAGUCCAAUUAAACAAUAUGAGGGCUCUUUAUCAUGUGGCAACCCACCGGAAGUAAAGCUGUGAUCCAUCUUGGUUUCCGUCCCAUCGUUUAAGAAGCCAGGUUUUUACGGGAAGUGUGAAUGUGGUUUGUGAUGAAAGGAUGGGAUGAUGUGUGUGUGUGUCUGUUUGUGUGUGUGUGUGUGUGCCUGCAGUACACACUAUUAUUAUGUUGCUGCGGUUGUAAUGAUGUAAGAUGCUCGCAAGGGCGUAAACAAGAGCAGCACGCCAUCUACAAACAACAUAUGAAAAUAUCAUGUUCCUGCAGGUCUCAAAUAGAUGAUGACAAUAUGAAGACUUCAAACCCCAUUACAGUAAUACCAGAAGAAAUAGGCUCAUCCUCAAUUUACUAUAAGGAUUUUAGGUAUUGAGAUAGUUGUUUGUGUUGGUCUGAGAAACCCCACUGUUGACGGGCCGUUCAGUUUGACUGAACGCUUCUAGGACAAUUUGCUGUACAAUAAAUGCAAUUUCUGACCAGUUUACAAGUUGCGACUCGCUUUCCUGAUUCCUGAUUUCCAAGCAAAAAUGGAAGCUGGUUGACAAACAGAGUUAACAAUCAUUGUUAUGCUUUUACAAACGAUGUAUCCCAAUGUCUUUGGACAUCUUGACUUUUCCUGUAUGGUGUAGUAUGAGUUUUGACAUUUUUAGUUUUGAGGGAAAGGUCUCAAGCACAAAGGAUGAAUUUCCAUGCGAUGUGCCACAAAUAUUCAUAUUAUCUUCAAGAUGAAUUACAGCAAGCAUCUAGCAUUUAUCAUCUGGUAAAAAUAUGAAUUUGUCCAAAUACCAGAGUACCUUGCUCAGACUUGGGGAAGCAGUGAGGAAAGCUCAUCUGUCAUGCACAAACUAUCAAAUCAUUUAUAAUUUUUCAAAUUUUAAGUAUAGUAUAAUACUUAAAAACAAAGCCAAAACAAAAAAAAAAUACAAAGAUGUGUCUCUGAACACCUGCAAACCUCACUAAACUUGUAUUACCACACUUUGAAAUUUGACAAAUUUGAACAAUUGCCUACUACUUAUUUUCAGUCGUCUCUGACAGAUGGAUUUAUCGUAUACACUAAAUGCAUUUUUGUCAGAUUCAAUAAACCUUGUUCAGAAAAACUCCCAAAAUGUUUCCUUCCACAUGUAAAUGAAAAACUAAGGCUCAUUCCUGUUCUCUGUUAU